AUUGAACGCUGGCGGCAGGCCUAACACAUGCAAGUCGAGCGGAGGGGCGGACGGGUGCGUAAUGCCUAGGAAUCUGCCUGGUAGUGGGGGAUAACGUCCGGAAAUGGGCGCUAAUACCGCAUACUAUAACAAUAGGCUAGGUCGGAUUAGCUAGUUGGUGGGGUAAAGGCCUACCAAGGCGACGAUCCGUAACUGGUCUGAGAGGAUGAUCAGUCACACUGGAACUGAGACACGGUCCAGACUCCUACGGGAGGCAGCAGUGGGGAAUAGUGCACAAUGGGCGAAAGCCUGAUCCAGCCAUGCCGCGUGUGUGAAGAAGGUCUUCGGAUUGUAAAGCACUUUAAGUUGGGAGGCGUUACCAACAGAAUAAGCACCGGCUAACUUCGUGCCAGCAGCCGCGGUAAUAC
This 407-nucleotide ribosomal RNA is filed under the name uncultured bacterium. RNAcentral describes it as "partial 16S ribosomal RNA". It matches the Rfam family "Bacterial small subunit ribosomal RNA", at positions 30 to 526 of the family's 1533-position model. The record is from RNAcentral.